CUACUCUGUCUCUCUUCAGAUUGCAUAAAUCUUUUGCUUUUUUUUAAAGAUUUUCGUGGAGGGAAAUAACCUUGAGUAUUUGAUACAUUCCAGCUGUUUAAGUAUUUCAGCU
Bombina bombina (fire-bellied toad) is the source of this 112-nucleotide small nuclear RNA. RefSeq annotates it as U5 spliceosomal RNA. NCBI's taxonomy places the organism in Eukaryota, Metazoa, Chordata, Amphibia, Anura, Bombinatoridae. The record is from RefSeq and is a predicted model, not a curated record. The transcript has a single exon.